GACGAACGCUGGCGGCGUGCUUAACACAUGCAAGUCGAACGGUGAAGCGCCUUCCUUUUUGGUGGGUGUGGAUGAGUGGCGAACGGGUGAGUAACACGUGAGUAACCUGCCCCCUUCUUCUGGAUAACCGCAUGAAAGUGUGGCUAAUACGGGAUAUUCUGGGUCUGUCGCAUGAUGGGUCUGUGAAAGAUAUUGUUUCGGUGGGGGCUGGGCUCGCGGCCUAUCAGCUUGUUGGUGGGGUGAUGGCCUACCAAGGCGGUGACGGGUAGCCGGCCGGGGAGGGUGGGCGGUCACAGUGGGACUGAGACACGGCCCAGACUCCUACGGGAGGCAGCAGUGGGGAAUAGUGCACAGUGGGCGCAAGCCUGAUGCAGCGACGCCGCGUGAGGGAUGGCGGCCUUCGGGUUGUGAACCUCUUUCGCCAGUGAAGCGGGCCUGCCUCGUUUGUGGGUGGGUUGACGGUAGCCGGAGAAGAAGCGCCGGCUAACUACGUG
Molecule: ribosomal RNA, 494 nt
Filed under: uncultured bacterium
Lineage: Bacteria
Description: partial 16S ribosomal RNA
Rfam family: Bacterial small subunit ribosomal RNA
Source: RNAcentral